Molecule: ribosomal RNA, 406 nt
Filed under: Salmonella enterica subsp. enterica serovar Agona
Lineage: Bacteria; Pseudomonadati; Pseudomonadota; Gammaproteobacteria; Enterobacterales; Enterobacteriaceae
Description: bacterial SSU rRNA
Rfam family: Bacterial small subunit ribosomal RNA
Source: RNAcentral
ACACAUGCAAGUCGAACGGUAACAGGAAGCAGCUUGCUGCUUYGCUGACGAGUGGCGGACGGGUGAGUAAUGUCUGGGAAACUGCCUGAUGGAGGGGGAUAACUACUGGAAACGGUGGCUAAUACCGCAUAACGUCGCAAGACCAAAGAGGGGGACCUUCGGGCCUCUUGCCAUCAGAUGUGCCCAGAUGGGAUUAGCUUGUUGGUGAGGUAACGGCUCACCAAGGCGACGAUCCCUAGCUGGUCUGAGAGGAUGACCAGCCACACUGGAACUGAGACACGGUCCAGACUCCUACGGGAGGCAGCAGUGGGGAAUAUUGCACAAUGGGCGCAAGCCUGAUGCAGCCAUGCCGCGUGUAUGAAGAAGGCCUUCGGGUUGUAAAGUACUUUCAGCGGGGAGGAAGGUG